This 575-nucleotide ribosomal RNA is filed under the name uncultured Capnodiales. RNAcentral's name for it is "eukaryotic LSU rRNA". The stretch from base 193 to 346 matches the Rfam family "5.8S ribosomal RNA". Lineage: Eukaryota; Fungi; Ascomycota; Dothideomycetes; Capnodiales. The record is from RNAcentral.
GUGCCCGCACUCCAACCCUCUGUGUACCAACCUUGUUGCUUUGGCGGGCCCGCGGCUCUCGCGAACGGCUCAGGAGUUUUCCAUCCGGUUAGCCUUGGGACUUAUUAGUUUUGAUUGAACCCUCCGAACCCGCCAGAGAUCAGUUAAAUUCUUGUUAUUUUAGUGCAGUCUGAGUAAAAACUUAAUAGUUAAAACUUUCAACAACGGAUCUCUUGGUUCUGGCAUCGAUGAAGAACGCAGCGAAAUGCGAUAAGUAAUGUGAAUUGCAGAAUUCAGUGAAUCAUCGAAUCUUUGAACGCACAUUGCGCCCCCUGGUAUUCCGGGGGGCAUGCCUGUUCGAGCGUCAUUUCAACCCUCAAGCUCUGCUUGGUAUUGGGCGUCGCCGGGGAGUCUCUCCGGCGUGCCUCAAAGCUAUCGGCGGUGGUGCCCUUCUCUAAGCGUGGUAGAAUUUUUAUUCGCUUCUGAGUUGGGCUUCGCCUGCCGGAUAAACCGGGCUCUACAGCCCACUUUCUCAGGUUGACCUCGGAUCAGGUAGGGAUACCCGCUGAACUUAAGCAUAUCAAUAAGCGGAGGAA